GCGGCUGUGGCGGAACCGGUAUACGCGGCGGACUUAAAAUCCGCUGGGCCAUCCCAUGCGGGUUCGACUCCCGCCAGCCGCACCA
RNAcentral lists this transfer RNA (85 nucleotides) under Ectothiorhodospiraceae bacterium 2226. Its description in RNAcentral is "tRNA-Leu". It matches the Rfam family "tRNA". Rfam says of the family: Transfer RNA (tRNA) molecules are approximately 80 nucleotides in length. Their secondary structure includes four short double-helical elements and three loops (D, anti-codon, and T loops). Further hydrogen bonds mediate the characteristic L-shaped molecular structure. tRNAs have two regions of fundamental functional importance: the anti-codon, which is responsible for specific mRNA codon recognition, and the 3' end, to which the tRNAs corresponding amino acid is attached (by aminoacyl-tRNA synthetases). tRNAs cope with the degeneracy of the genetic code in two manners: having more than one tRNA (with a specific anti-codon) for a particular amino acid; and 'wobble' base-pairing, i.e. permitting non-standard base-pairing at the 3rd anti-codon position. The record is from RNAcentral. Lineage: Bacteria; Pseudomonadati; Pseudomonadota; Gammaproteobacteria; Chromatiales; Ectothiorhodospiraceae.